GGGGAAUUUUGGACAAUGGGCGCAAGCCUGAUCCAGCAAUGCCGCGUGCAGGAUGAAGGCCUUCGGGUUGUAAACUGCUUUUGUACGGAACGAAAAGACUCUCUCUAAUACAGGGGGGUGAUGACGGUACCGUAAGAAUAAGCACCGGCUAACUCCGUGCCAGCAGCCGCGGUAAUACGGAGGGUGCAAGCGUUAAUCGGAAUCACUGGGCGUAAAGCGCGCGUAGGCCGUCUUUUAAGUCGGACGUGAAAGCCCUCGGCUCAACCGGGGAACUGCGUUCGAAACUGGGAGACUUGAGUCCUGGAGAGGCUGGCGGAAUUCCGGGUGUACGAGUGAAAUCCGUAGAUAUCCGGAGGAACACCGGUGGCGAAGGCGGCCACCUGGACAGGUACUGACGCUGCGGCGCGAAAGCGUGGGGAGCAAACA
RNAcentral lists this ribosomal RNA (426 nucleotides) under uncultured Pseudomonadota bacterium. Its description in RNAcentral is "bacterial SSU rRNA". It matches the Rfam family "Bacterial small subunit ribosomal RNA", at positions 356 to 774 of the family's 1533-position model. The record is from RNAcentral. Lineage: Bacteria; Pseudomonadati; Pseudomonadota.